RNAcentral lists this unclassified non-coding RNA (253 nucleotides) under uncultured Solibacteraceae bacterium. Its description in RNAcentral is "contains 16S-23S intergenic spacer region". It matches the Rfam family "Bacterial small subunit ribosomal RNA", at positions 524 to 776 of the family's 1533-position model. The record is from RNAcentral. Lineage: Bacteria; Pseudomonadati; Acidobacteriota; Terriglobia; Bryobacterales; Solibacteraceae.
UACGUAGGCAGCAAGCGUUGUUCGGAGUUACUGGGCGUAAAGAGUGCGUAGGCGGUGCUCUAAGUUCGGUGUGAAAUCUCCCGGCUCAACCGGGAGGAUGCGCCGAAAACUGGGGUGCUAGAGUGUGGGAGAGGAAAGCGGAAUUCCUGGUGUAGCGGUGAAAUGCGUAGAUAUCAGGAGGAACACCCGUGGUGUAGACGGCUUUCUGGACCACUACUGACGCUGAGGCACGAAAGCGUGGGGAGCAAACAGG